Molecule: long non-coding RNA, 3389 nt
Organism: Lycium ferocissimum
Lineage: Eukaryota; Viridiplantae; Streptophyta; Magnoliopsida; Solanales; Solanaceae
Exons: 4
Source: RefSeq, a predicted model, not a curated record
AGAAAAUGUCAAAAUUGUGACGGAAUAUUUGAGACAGAGCAGUUCUGUCACAAAUUGUGACAGAAUUGUGAUGGAUCAACCUUUCAUACAUAAAAAAACUUCAAAAAACUUUUUUUUCCCAUAAAAAUUUUGAGGGUAACGGAUUUGUGACAAAUUUUAAAUAUGAUUUUUGUGACGGACAUAUUUUCGCCACAAAUUAAGGCUGAUAAGAAAAAAUGACAAUUAUUUGUCACAAAUCCGUGACAAAAAUUGUGACGGAUUGAAUAUUCCGUCACAAAUAUAAUAACAAGACAAUUAAUAAUAAAUAUAUAAAUUUGUGACAGAUUUGUUUCCCUGGCAACAACAAAAUUAGGCAACUUCUUAAUUUUGCCCCCAAAAUUUUUCACUACUUUUUAGUUUCCCACCAAAAUUUGACCCCAUUACAUUUCAACCAAAUAGCUUCACUUCCCCCAAAAUUAGACCCCAUUACAUUUCAGCAAAAUAGCUUCACUUCCCCCCCCAUUACAUUUUACCAAAGUACCUUUACUUUCCCCAAAAUUAGACCCUUCUAAGCUUCGACUCCGUUAAUUUCUCGAUGAUUUCAGCAAAGUAGCAAGCCGUUCACUUCGACUCCGUUGUCAUCUUCACUAAGAGAAAAGUUCAACAACCUCCAUUUUCAAUCAAGGAUCAAGAGGAGAAGGCAAAGAGGAGUUCGUUCUUCAAGGUUUGCAUUUUAUAGAGCUUCUUACUUCUUUUUGCUGAUUUGUUGGACUCGAUGAAGAGACUUUGGCGUGAUCACUCAUGUAAGUAUUUGGCAGCACUUUCCGGGUAACUAAUAUUCAUCAUAGAAUCAAGUAAGUUUAGGAUAACUAGAAUUCUUGAAACUUCACUGAAGAGUUUUUUUUAGUUAUUUUGCUUUUCAUUUUCUUAUAUUCAAAGUACAAUUGUUUCAUUGUUGAUACAGGUGGAUCUGUUGGAGUACAUUAGUUUAUUUGAAUUUGUUAAGUUUAGAGCAUGAAGAGAACAAUGCAAACUAAGAUAGUUAAUUAGUCUAGCUUACCUACUUUAGCAGAUGUUCUUGGUACUGGAAUGGUAGUUAUGCCAUCCAAUUGUUAUAUGAAAUGACUCAAAGAAAUUUGGAUGUGCUGAAGUCUGAGUAGCCUUAACUCAUGGAACUCCCCCAGUAUAUGAAGGGGUGUGUGUGAGCCCAAAUGAUUGUUUGUUCAUGUCAAGGGGUGUUCAUUUUUAGUGUUAUUAGUUAGAAAUACAUCUGAAUGAUGUUUUGAGAAUAAGAAAUACAUCAAUCACAUUUUUAAACUAAAAAAAAGAAAAGAAAUUGUUUUACAUGGAGAUUAAUAUACAAGUUCAGAAUGAAAAUUGAUCACUUUUCCAUAUCCUUUUAAGGCUUUCAGUUAGGUGUUUCAGUUAAUAGUAAUGAGAGCUGUGUAGUUCUAAUUGUUUCUGGUGAAAGAAAAAAAGGUACUUUAUAUGUAGUAAAGAUUAUUUUUUGAGAAUACUAGUUAAAAGUUUUUAAGUUAAAAGAUUGUUAUGACUUUGUUGACAAGGCUGAGCGGUUGGAUCCCAACUCUAUAUCUUCAUAGGUGGUUUCUCUAAUUUGGCUAAGAUAAUUUUUGUUGGUAGCCAGCUUUGAAUACCUUUCCUCUUUUUUUUUUUUGGCUAAGAUAAUAUAAGCUAAACAGAUUUUGGAUGAAAUAGUAUUAGAAUCUUUUGGUGGCUCUUCAUCAACCUUUUGUCUGAUGUGGAGGGACUUUGGCGUGAUCAUUCAUGUAAGUAUUUGCCCAAUGUGCAUGAAAAUAGUAAAUCAGUGUAGCAGAUAAUGCCUAUCAAGAUUUAGGAUUCUUUGCUAACUCUGUUGGUAUUUUUGUUAUUGCUUAUCAUUAUGCAAUGGAUCAUUCUAAGUACUUAGACAACUAGCUGAUGCCAAGCAUCCAGUGAGAACUUUUAAGCUGCUAUAACUUGUGCGAUCAGUUUAUACAAGACGCCUCAGCAUUAUACUCACUAAGGGGAAUGAUAUGUCCAUAUAUAUUUGAGCGUUAGAGUUAUAAAUUUUUUAAUUUGCUCGUACACUUCACGCUCUUGGUGCCUUUUUCUUGUGCCUUUCAUUUGUGAUUUUCUGGGUAACUAAUAUUCACCAUAGAAUCAUGUAAGUUCAGGAUAACUAGAAUUCUGGAGACUUCAUUUGUGCCAGGGUCAUGUUUAGCAUGCUAUUCUUAUUCUUGAUAUUAUCAUUCAUGCUAUUCUUAUUCUGUUAGAAGAUAAGAAAAAUAUACAUAUCAUAUUUCUGCAAUCUGAAUGGGAUAAACUAAAUUAGCCACUCAUUUUGUUUCAGUUUGUGACCAAUACACCUUUGUGGCUUAAAAAAUCAUACACUCCAUGUCUAACUGCUAAAAUUUUAGAAAUUGAGUGCUUUUGUUCUGUUCCUGUUCUUUAAUUUUUUUUACCAGAGUCCUUUUUUGCUCUGUUCUGAUUCAUCUAUUUUUUAACUAGAUUUCUUGAUGGUUUUUUUAAGAAAGGUCAAAAGGAGAGUUGAAUUUUGUCCUUCCUCUGUUAGAUGGGGCAUGCAUCGUUGACUUGAUAGACAUUAAGCACUUAACUGGUCAUAUUCAUAAUUCUCCUUAAUGUUCCGCAGCCUGAAAAUCAUGGUUUAGGUCUGGAACAUGCAUCAUUGACUUUAUAGACAUUUAAUAGUUUACUGAUCAUAUCCGUAUUUCUCAUUGUCAAUGACUAUAGAGAUAGCAAAGUGUUACAUGUGCCUUUUGCUAUGUAGAGUGCAUUUCUUUUGAUUAUGAGAGGGCGAUUAUAUCUUUUGACUAAGUCCAAAUGGUUUCAUCAAAUUAAUUGAUUGAUCCGUUUUUGUAUUUCUGGGUGUCGUGUCUUGUAUCUCUGCUAGUAGGAUUGUAGUAAAGUUGUUUGAUUUGUUAUGCUAGUGGAGCGUAAUAUAACUAAUGGAAAAUUGCCUUUGAAGGCAAUAAAUAUAAUCACCUUCCUACAUUUUUAUUAAUUUGAGAAGUGAAAAAGUUUACUUUUUAAUUUAUUGACAUGUCACAUAGUUAUUGCAUGUUUCGUGACGAUGUAUCGUGUGGUUGGAUAUUCUCAUAGGGAAUAAAAUUGCAUGACUUUGGUAAGAAUCUUGGUGAGCUAUUUUAGCCGAAAGUCUAAUCGUUUCUAUUGACAGGGUAUAACAAGGUUUCUCUUAACACUAAUUCCACAUUAAUAGAAAAGUACUUGAUGCCCUCCCUCUCUUUUCUCUGAGGUGGUGCUGAUCUUAUAAUUAUAAGCAAGUGUUUGAGAUACAAUUGUCCUCUACUUUCUGGUGAUUGAUUAAAUUUCUCAAGAUUAGUAAUCUGUUCGACUUUUCAAUUGUGGUUCACUGGUCUGAGAUAGUUAUG